This 274-nucleotide ribosomal RNA is filed under the name uncultured bacterium. Its description in RNAcentral is "partial 16S ribosomal RNA". It matches the Rfam family "Bacterial small subunit ribosomal RNA", at positions 523 to 796 of the family's 1533-position model. The record is from RNAcentral.
AUACGGAGGGUGCAAGCGUUACUCGGAAUCACUGGGCGUAAAGCGCGCGCAGGCGGGCUGAUAAGUUGGAUGUGAAAGCCUACGGCUCAACCGUAGAACUGCAUCCAAAACUGUCAGUCUAGAGUGUGGGAGAGGAAGAUGGAAUUAGUUGUGUAGGGGUAAAAUCCGUAGAGAUAUCUAGGAAUACCAAAAGCGAAGGCAAUCUUCUGGAACACUACUGACGCUCAGGCGCGGAGGCGUGGGGAGCAAACAGGAUUAGAAACCCCGGUAGUCC